Molecule: ribosomal RNA, 696 nt
Filed under: uncultured bacterium
Lineage: Bacteria
Description: bacterial SSU rRNA
Rfam family: Bacterial small subunit ribosomal RNA
Source: RNAcentral
AGAGUUUGAUCCUGGCUGAGAGUGAACGCUGGCGGCGUGCUUAACACAUGCAAGUCGAACGAGAACGGGUUAAAGCUUGCUUUAACUGUCAGCUAAGUGGCGCACGGGUGAGUAAUAUAUAGGUAACGUGCCUUCAAGAAGGGGAUAACAAUUGGAAACGAUUGCUAAUACCCUAUAUGCCUUUAAGUCUUAAGACUGCAAGGGAAAUAUUUAUAGCUUGAAGAUCGGCCUGUACAGUAUCAGUUAGUUGGUGAGGUAAUGGCUCACCAAGACAAUGACGCUUAACUGGUUUGAGAGGAUGAUCAGUCACACUGGAACUGAGACACGGUCCAGACUCCUACGGGAGGCAGCAGUGGGGAAUAUUGCACAAUGGACGAAAGUCUGAUGCAGCAACGCCGCGUGGAGGAUGACACAUUUCGGUGCGUAAACUCCUUUUAUAUAGGAAGAUAAUGACGGUACUAUAUGAAUAAGCACCGGCUAACUCCGUGCCAGCAGCCGCGGUAAUACGGAGGGUGCAAGCGUUACUCGGAAUCACUGGGCGUAAAGAGAAUGUAGGCGGGUAGAUAAGUUUGAAGUGAAAUCCAAUGGCUCAACCAUUGAACUGCUUUGAAAACUGUUUACCUAGAAUAUGGGAGAGGUAGAUGGAAUUUCUGGUGUAGGGGUAAAAUCCGUAGAGAUCAGAAGGAAUACCGAUUG